Molecule: non-coding RNA, 2628 nt
Organism: Podarcis lilfordi (Lilford's wall lizard)
Lineage: Eukaryota; Metazoa; Chordata; Lepidosauria; Squamata; Lacertidae
Source: the annotation of a GenBank genome assembly
CAAACAAUAAUUAAAUCACCUGCUAAAAACAGGUCAGGAUCAAAUUAAAAUCUAAUUAGAUGGCUUUCUGCAGAAUUAGGGUCAAUACAAAGAUGGGACUGGAGGGUGAGGAUGCCUAAAGCCCCCAUAAUCCCAGACUACUGGUCAUUUUGGCUGGAGUUCGUGUGCCUCCUCCACGAGAAUGGAACUUUUCUGCAGUGACUCCCUAUUUGUGGAAUGCUCUCCCCCAGGAAACUCACCUGGUGCCUUCCUUAUACACCUUUGGGGCCAGGUGAAAACAUUUCUCUUCAACCAGACCUUUGGCUGAUUGGCAUUCAAUGCCCAUUUAGAUGUGUUGUGGGAAAGAGGAUUCUUAGUUUGUUUUCGUUCUUAUAUUUUAAUGUAUUUGGUGUUUUUUAUAUUGUAUUUUGGGGGGAUGUGGGGGGCGCUGUGGGGUAAACCACAGAGCCUAGGACUUGCCGAUCAGAAGGUCGGCGGUUCGAAUCCCCGCAAUGGGGUGAGCUCCCGUUGCUCGGUCCCACCUCCUGCCAACCUAGCAGUUCGAAAGCACGUCAAAAGUGCAAGCAUAUAAAUAGGUACCACUCUGGCGGGAAGGUAAACGGCAUUUCUGUGCACUGCUCUGGUUUGCCAGAAGCGGCUUAGUCAUGCUGACCACAAGACCCAGAAGCUAUAUGCCAGCUCCCUCGGUCGAUGAAGCGAGAUGAGCGUCGCAACCCCAGAGUCGUCCGCGACGGGACCUAACGGUCAGGGGUACCUUUACCUUUACCUAUAUUGUAUUUUUAGCUUGUGAAGCACCUUGAGAUCUAUGGAUGAAGGGUGGUAUAGAAAAUGAUGAUGAUACUAAUACUAAUACUAAUACUAAUAAUGCAUGUGUGUGCACACACAACUACACUGAUCAUUCAUGGAGGAAGAUUGCAAUUAGUAGCCCAAACAUAAUUCUGCAUCACUAAUCAGCCCUCCUCAACUGGAUGUUGCAGGACUCCAGCCAGAGCUGCUUGGAACUCUAGUCUAAGACACAGGGAGGUCAUCAGGCAAAACUGAUCUAGGUUUUAGGAAUUUUAUUCUUUUUAUUCCAUUGCAAUCUUUGAAUUUUAAGUGCUCAGGAAACCAGCCAAGCAAAAGAACGAUCAUCAUUGCAUUUUGUGUUAAUUAGACAUUGCAAUUUGCAUUCUCCUCUCUGCCUCCCGUCACCUCCACCUGUUUCCUAUGAGCAGAGGAGACUCUGAGAGCAUUUGGGUCACAGAAAGGGAACUGACUUGCUGAUUUUAAUGACAGAGCUCAGCAUGUUCUUCUGGCAGCUUUGAGUAACUUGGGCCCCAGAACUGUCACGGCAGUUAAAUGUUACAUGUUGCAAAUUGAGACAUUAAGGAUCGUGGGCUAGUGGGUGAUGCCAGCAUUGCUGAGUGUGAGCCAGGAUGAUUAAUGUCGUUUGCUACUGACUUUUUGACGACUCCAUUAAUUAAGACUAAAAAAAAUAAUUUUUUUUUAGUUGGUGUAGUGAGCUGGGGUUGUGUAUUGGUUAUGGCUGGAACUAGAUGACACUGACUCUGUAGAGUCUUAAACCAAAAAAAUCAGCAGCUCCAUCUGUAUUUCUUUAGUUUUAUAUUACACCUUUCCUCCAAGGUGCUAAGCAUGGACAAGGUAGGUCUGUGGCGAUCACACAGGGUCAUUUCACCGUCUAUUGAUCCCUGUGCCACCACUUUAUUUCUCACUGCCACCACCCAGGCCCGACCUGGUACAAUACUGAGUCCAUUCAGGGUUAAAUUGGAACAUUAACUUCUGUUUAUUUAUUGCAGUUUAACAAGCGUGUGGUUUCAUAAACGGUAUCGGUCAAUUACAGUCAUGGGGUGCCUAUCCAGACCUAUAACUUCCACUACCUGCUCUCACUCACUAAACCACCUCUCAGAUAUUUACUUGUCUUCCUAGCCCCUAACUGUUCCUGACUCAGCCUAUUUCGCUACACCAACUCAACCUACCCACAAACUCUAUCCCAAUUCACUCCCACUCCAACUAACCACCCAACUCCCAACGAACUCCUCCCUUCACCUCUCCCACAGCUGGUUUUAUAGUCCCUCUGACUCCACCCCCUGGGUCCUGAUUGGGUAACCUGUUUAAUUAUUUCACCUCCAGCACUCUCAUAUGUUAACGUCACCAGGUCUUCUUCCCCUUCACAGCAAACCUAUAAGGUGAGAGCGAGAUGACUGAAGGCCAUGUUGUGAGCUUCCUGGGUGAAGUGGGAUUUGAACCUGAGUCUCCCAAGUCCCCAUCUGACAUGCAAACCUACUGUAACUACAAUAUCACACGGGUGCCUUACUCCUGUUCUCUCUUCCCAUCAGUGAAGAACUGUGCGGGGAGAGAGACUCUGUGCUAGCCAGCAGGUAAUGACUUUUUCCACCUUCCUUGCCCCACCUUCCAGCCCUGGGAAUCUUCAUAAGGGACCUGUUUCCAGAGGAAGAACUAUGAGGGGAGAAAGACUCUGUUUGCCACUAGAGGGUGGCUGGUUUUACCUGUGCUGCCCCACCUCCAACCAGAGGAACCUUCAAGGGGGAGUUUCUGCCAGAGGCACUAUGUCGAUGUGUAUUUUAAUGAGCUGAACAGAGUGAAAGAAUAUGAGUUAUGGGGCUGGGG